This 265-nucleotide ribosomal RNA is filed under the name uncultured archaeon. RNAcentral describes it as "partial 16S ribosomal RNA". It matches the Rfam family "Archaeal small subunit ribosomal RNA", at positions 717 to 982 of the family's 1478-position model. The record is from RNAcentral.
ACACGACUACAUUAGAUACCCGCGUAGUCCCAGCUGUAAACUAUGUGCGUUAGGUGUGUCAGUGACCACGUGUCACUGAGGUGCCGAAGGGAAACCGUGAAACGCACCGCCUGGGGAGUACGUCCGCAAGGAUGAAACUUAAAGGAAUUGGCGGGGGAGCACCGCAACGGGAGGAGCGUGCGGUUUAAUUGGAUUCAACACCGUAAAACUCACCAGGGAAGACUGUUACAUGAAGGCCGAGAUGAAGACUCUGCUAGAUUUUCAG